RNAcentral lists this ribosomal RNA (433 nucleotides) under uncultured bacterium. Its description in RNAcentral is "partial 16S ribosomal RNA". It matches the Rfam family "Bacterial small subunit ribosomal RNA", at positions 29 to 507 of the family's 1533-position model. The record is from RNAcentral.
AACGAACGCUGGCGGCAUGCCUAACACAUGCAAGUCGAACGAGACCUUCGGGUCUAUUGGCGCACGUGUGCGUAACGCGUGGGAACCUGCCCUUAGGUUCGGAAUAACUCCCCGAAAGGGGUGCUAAUACCGGAUAAUGUCUUCGGACCAAAGAUUUAUCGCCUUUGGAUGGGCCCGCGUUGGAUUCGCUAGUUGGUAGGGUAAAAGCCUACCAAGGCGACGAUCCAUAGCUGGUCUGAGAGGAUGAUCAGCCACACUGGGACUGAGACACGGCCCAGACUCCUACGGGAGGCAGCAGUGGGGAAUAUUGGACAAUGGGCGAAAGCCUGAUCCAGCAAUGCCGGGUGAGUGAUGAAGGCCUUAGGGUUGUAAAGCUCUUUUACCCGGGAUGAUAAUGACAGUACCGGGAGAAUAAGCUCCGGCUAACUACGUG